RNAcentral lists this ribosomal RNA (429 nucleotides) under bacterium. RNAcentral describes it as "partial 16S ribosomal RNA". It matches the Rfam family "Bacterial small subunit ribosomal RNA", at positions 355 to 776 of the family's 1533-position model. The record is from RNAcentral.
UAGGGAAUCUUCCACAAUGGACGCAAGUCUGAUGGAGCAACGCCGCGUGAGUGAAGAAGGUUUUCGGAUCGUAAAGCUCUGUUGUUGGUGAAGAAGGAUAGAGGCAGUAACUGGUCUUUAUUUGACGGUAAUCAACCAGAAAGUCACGGCUAACUACGUGCCAGCAGCCGCGGUAAUACGUAGGUGGCAAGCGUUGUCCGGAUUUAUUGGGCGUAAAGCGAGCGCAGGCGGAAUGAUAAGUCUGAUGUGAAAGCCCACGGCUCAACCGUGGAACUGCAUCGGAAACUGUCAUUCUUGAGUGCAGAAGAGGAGAGUGGAAUUCCAUGUGUAGUGGUGGAAUGCGUAGAUAUAUGGAAGAACACCAGUGGCGAAGGCGGCUCUCUGGUCUGCAACUGACGCUGAGGCUCGAAAGCAUGGGUAGCGAACAGG